CAGCCGCCACGGUAAUACGAAGGGGGCUAGCGUUGCUCGGAAUUACUGGGCGUAAAGGGAGCGUAGGCGGAUCGUUAAGUCUGUUGUGAAAGCCCCGGGCUCAACCUGGGAAUGGCAAUGGAUACUGGCGAGCUAGAGUGUGUCAGAGGAUGGUGGAAUUCCCGGUGUAGCGGUGAAAUGCGUAGAGAUCGGGAGGAACAUCAGUGGCGAAGGCGGCCAUCUGGGACAACACUGACGCUGAGGCACGAAAGCGUGGGGAGCAAACAGGAUUAGAUACCCCAGUAGUCCCUGUCUCUUAUAC
Molecule: ribosomal RNA, 301 nt
Filed under: uncultured bacterium
Lineage: Bacteria
Description: partial 16S ribosomal RNA
Rfam family: Bacterial small subunit ribosomal RNA
Source: RNAcentral